AUGGGUCUGAACAUACUGUUUGACUAUGCUGCAAAAGAUCUAGAUACCUGGAUGGCCAAGGAGGUGCUAGAGCGGUGCGAAGAGCUGGGCUUCGAGGUCGACGCCGUGACCUAUAACACGGUCAUGGAUCAUUUCUCCAACAAGAUGAAGUGGAUGCGUGUCAUCAAGUUGUUCACGGAUCUUCUCAAGAAGCCCAUAACACCCAAUGCGCACACAUACAAUAUUCUGAUCUCAUCCCUGUGCCGAGCCGACAACUUCCAGCUUGCCAAGUUCGUGUUCAGCUGCAACGGGUUUGUGGCGGACAACAUGACCUGUAACAUUCUGAUCCACAAGUUCUACGACGCGGGAAAGAAGGGCGAGCUCGGGUUCUCAUUCUCCAACGUCGAUGCGGGGAAGAUUGCCCCAGACAAAUCACAUACAAGACACAGGUCGAUUGCCUCUUUGGGUCUGGGAGGAGACCCGAGGCUGCCAAUCUGGUUAGGCACAUCGAUGAUGGAUACCUUGCAGAGCCCGUAG
Molecule: ribosomal RNA, 516 nt
Filed under: Triticum aestivum (bread wheat)
Lineage: Eukaryota; Viridiplantae; Streptophyta; Magnoliopsida; Poales; Poaceae
Description: partial small subunit ribosomal RNA
Source: RNAcentral